RNAcentral lists this ribosomal RNA (500 nucleotides) under uncultured bacterium. RNAcentral describes it as "partial 16S ribosomal RNA". It matches the Rfam family "Bacterial small subunit ribosomal RNA", at positions 29 to 523 of the family's 1533-position model. The record is from RNAcentral.
AACGAACGCUGGCGGCAUGCUUUACACAUGCAAGUCGAACGGCAGCACGGACUUCGGUCUGGUGGCGAGUGGCGAACGGGUGAGUAAUACAUCGGAACGUGCCCAGUUGUGGGGGAUAACUACUCGAAAGAGUAGCUAAUACCGCAUGAGAACUGAGGUUGAAAGCAGGGGAUCGUAAGACCUUGCGCAACUGGAGCGGCCGAUGGCAGAUUAGGUAGUUGGUGGGAUAAAAGCUUACCAAGCCGACGAUCUGUAGCUGGUCUGAGAGGACGACCAGCCACACUGGGACUGAGACACGGCCCAGACUCCUACGGGAGGCAGCAGUGGGGAAUUUUGGACAAUGGGCGAAAGCCUGAUCCAGCAAUGCCGCGUGCAGGAUGAAGGCCCUCGGGUUGUAAACUGCUUUUGUACGGAACGAAAAGCUUCGGGUUAAUACCCUGGAGUCAUGACGGUACCGUAAGAAUAAGCACCGGCUAACUACGUGCCAGCAGCAGCCGCAG